AGCCGCCGCGGGAAUACGAAGGGGGCUAGCGUUGCUCGGAAUUACUGGGCGUAAAGGGAGCGUAGGCGGGUCGUUUAGUCAGAGGUGAAAUCCCGGGGCUCAACCUCGGAACUGCCUUUGAUACUGGCGACCUUGAGUAUGGGAGAGGUGAGUGGAACUCCGAGUGUAGAGGUGAAGUUCGUAGAUAUUCGCAAGAACACCAGUGGCGAAGGCGGCUUACUGGCUCGAAACUGACGCUGAGGCGCGAAAGCGUGGGGAGCAAACAGGAUUAGAUACCCCAGUAGUCCCUGUCUCUUAUACC
This 301-nucleotide ribosomal RNA is filed under the name uncultured bacterium. RNAcentral's name for it is "partial 16S ribosomal RNA". It matches the Rfam family "Bacterial small subunit ribosomal RNA", at positions 510 to 808 of the family's 1533-position model. The record is from RNAcentral.